This 254-nucleotide ribosomal RNA is filed under the name uncultured bacterium. Its description in RNAcentral is "partial 16S ribosomal RNA". It matches the Rfam family "Bacterial small subunit ribosomal RNA", at positions 524 to 776 of the family's 1533-position model. The record is from RNAcentral.
UACGUAGGGCGCAAGCGUUGUCCGGAAUUAUUGGGCGUAAAGAGCUCGUAGGCGGCUUGUCACGUCGAUUGUGAAAGCCCAAGGCUUAACCUCGGGUCUGCAGUCGAUACGGGCUAGCUAGAGUGUGGUAGGGGAGAUCGGAAUUCCUGGUGUAGCGGUGAAAUGCGCAGAUAUCAGGAGGAACACCGGUGGCGAAGGCGGAUCUCUGGGCCAUUACUGACGCUGAGGAGCGAAAGCGUGGGGGAGCGAACAGG